GGGAUGGGUGCUGCUGGAA
This 19-nucleotide non-coding RNA is filed under the name Mus musculus (house mouse). Lineage: Eukaryota; Metazoa; Chordata; Mammalia; Rodentia; Muridae. The record is from RNAcentral.